This 22-nucleotide microRNA is filed under the name Lepisosteus oculatus (spotted gar). Its description in RNAcentral is "Loc-Mir-133-P2-v1_5p* (star (passenger))". The record is from RNAcentral. RNAcentral also lists the same sequence under 29 other names. Lineage: Eukaryota; Metazoa; Chordata; Actinopteri; Semionotiformes; Lepisosteidae.
GCUGGUCAAACGGAACCAAGUC